AACCAAAGCAUUUAGAGCAAAUCUGACAUGGAGUAAAAGUGUUUAUCAGGUCAAAAUCUAUCUGCCCUGACAUUUUCAGAUGAAUCGGACAACCUGUUGUUGGGUUGCUGCCCCUAAAUUGGUAAUUUUAAGGAAAUUUUACUGUUUUGGGUUAUUAUCUUGAAUAUUAUUAUAGAUAGAGAUAAACUUUAAACAGAAAUAAUGUACAGCAAAGUAAGAUUUACAAAUACGUCAACAUGACUGAAAUGGUCAAUUGACCCCCUAAGGAGUUAUUGUCCUUUAUAGUCAAUUUUUAACAAUUUUUAUAAAAUUUGUAAAUUUUUACUAACAUUUUCCACUGAAACUACUGGGCCAAGUUCAUUAUAGAUAGAGAUAACUGUAAGCAGCAAGAAUGUUCAGUAAAGUAAGACGUACAAACACAUCACCAUGACCAAAAAACAAUUUUGUCAUGAAUCCAUCUGCUUCCUUUGUUUAAUAUUCACAUAGACCAAGGUGAGCGACACAGGCUCUUUAGAGCCUCUAGUUUUGGCAUU
Molecule: long non-coding RNA, 533 nt
Filed under: Mytilus galloprovincialis (Mediterranean mussel)
Lineage: Eukaryota; Metazoa; Mollusca; Bivalvia; Mytilida; Mytilidae
Source: RNAcentral